This 460-nucleotide ribosomal RNA is filed under the name uncultured bacterium. RNAcentral describes it as "partial 16S ribosomal RNA". It matches the Rfam family "Bacterial small subunit ribosomal RNA", at positions 338 to 795 of the family's 1533-position model. The record is from RNAcentral.
CCUACGGGUGGCAGCAGUGAGGAAUAUUGGUCAAUGGACGCAAGUCUGAACCAGCCAUGCCGCGUGCAGGAAGACGGCUCUAUGAGUUGUAAACUGCUUUUGUACGAGAGUAAACGCAGAUACGCGUAUCUUUCUGAAAGUAUCGUACGAAUAAGGAUCGGCUAACUCCGUGCCAGUAGCCGCGGUAAUACGGAGGAUUCAAGCGUUAUCCGGAUUUAUUGGGUUUAAAGGGUGCGUAGGCGGUCGGAUAAGUUAGAGGUGAAAUCCCGAGGCUCAACUUCGGAAUUGCCUCUGAUACUGUUCGGCUAGAGAGUAGUUGCGGUAGGCGGAAUGUAUGGUGUAGCGGUGAAAUGCUUAGAGAUCAUACAGAACACCGAUUGCGAAGGCAGCUUACCAAGCUACUUCUGACGUUGAGGCACGAAAGCGUGGGGAGCAAACAGGAUUAGAUACCCCUGUAGUC